UUCAAAAGGAGAUCAACCCCAAAAGGUUGAUUCUCAUGGGUGUUUGAACCACUCGGCGUAAACAGGUGGGAAAUUCGGUGGUACACUCCGUCCAACUUCUAAUUUACUCUUGAGAGUAUCCAGGCGAGGAAAUUGCCGGGCUGUGGCCAUAAGAAAUUAAGCCCAGGGGGGAUUUCCCUCCUGGACAUGGGAGCGCUACACAGGACGGUUGGCUAGUUUGAGCUGGCUAUUGAGUGCAAUAUACAGAUCAUCACCUCGGUGGUGGAACGCGAUACCGAUUACUUCUUGGA
Molecule: non-coding RNA, 290 nt
Rfam family: Nuclear RNase P
About the family: Ribonuclease P (RNase P) is a ubiquitous endoribonuclease, found in archaea, bacteria and eukarya as well as chloroplasts and mitochondria.
Source: Rfam